GUAUUUCAUAUGGUGACAUCAAUUAUAUUUUUUGAUAUUUGUAAAAAAUUUAUACUAGUUGGAACAAAUAUUGGUAUGUGUCCAAGAAUUGAUACAUGGAGUGAUCUUUAAAAGGCAGAAUCACAAUACGUUUUGGAAAACAUUAUUUGUCAGUAAACGGUUGAAAGGAGUUUCUAGACGAAAAAUGUUAUUACAUGUAUUUUAUAGGACGAGUUUAAACAGAAAGUCUCUUCGAAUUUAUAGAUACUCAGUUAAAAAAAUAUCAAAUGUCUACACAGGACUGUUAAAUAUAUAUCUUAGUUUUUUAUGCGUUUUGCUUACAACAGGCUAUUAUUUGAACUUGGAUUUAUCUUUAAUUAUAGAAUUUAUGGGCUUAAAAUUUUAAAUAAAUUUCAUUUUUUUUUGGUAGUCUUAUGUUUUGAGCGGUUCACUAACACUUUUCAUACAAUGUAUUUUGUAUAGAUAGUGUUGUGUGCGACACAGUACAUUAUAUUGAAAAUGUUUUACUGUCUUUGUAAUAGAAAGUGUUGUGGGCAGAACAAAACAUUAAUGAACAGAAUAAACAUUGAAUGUAUUUAAAAUUUCCAAAAAAUAGCCAGUUUUACGUCAAAUAUAUGCCAAUCUAUUAGUUGUUAUUUAAGUUUAUCAAUCAUCCAAGGAGAAUAUAAUCAGAAACAAAACAAAGAAUGGAGGAAUUCAUCGUUUUGUGGGUAUAUAUAAGUAUUUUAACUUUUUUUCUUAAGAAACAGUAAAUAGUUUUUAAGGAACCUUUCUGGAAACCAAUAUUUCCCGAGUCAAUUCUACAUUAUCAUGGUUAUAUGUGCAUUCAUAAUAUUAUAUAUAAAACCGCUUUUUGGAUUGUUUGCUUCUGUAGUAUUUGUCAGCUAUUAGGUUCCUCUAGUUUUACCCAUGUAUUGCCACUACAAAUUUUGCUCAAUAAUCUCUACUUUUAUAAACAUAAUUCUGAUAGUUCAAAAGUCUUUUUUUAAAUCCUUGUUAUUUCUUCAUGAUUUGUGAAAGUAAAAGGUGCCAAUAUAAAAUUUAUGAAACAUCGAGAGGAAACCAUUGCAAGCCAAAUUUUCAAUUGAUUAUAUCCCUAAAACAAGGACACUGACAUUUACAUUUUUUUUCUACUUUUUAAGUUUCUUUAUAUACUUACUUUCAAUUUGAUAAAGUCUUUAAAAAGGCUGGUUAUUUUGAAACACAGGACCAAAUAUCCUUAAACUUUUGGUCAAUCUAACGAAUUGUUUAAUAAAGAAAAUAUGGAAUUUUAUGAUUGGUAGAUAUAAUGAUAGGAAAUAAUAAGACAAAUUUGUUGGUUGUUUUAUUAAAUACGAGUUGUUUAGUAUAGGUUUAAAUGAUAUUUGGUAUUAUCAAGGUUUACUUUUAGAUAGUAAGCUCGUCAGUACUUUUUACUGAUAAUUAGUCCCUAGUGUGGACAGUGUGUAACCUGCCAUUUUUUAAUACCCCUUCCAAAUGUAUUUCUUCAUGUUUAUGCCUCACAUAGCAAGUACGGGGAUGAAUUUACACUUUUAGAAAAUAAAUUGGGUUAUAAAUGUGAAAGUCAAGUAUAUAGUGAUAUAGCAUGUUUAGUCCAGCUAAAAAAAUUAAACAUAAAUUCAUCCAUAUUUUGAGUAAGAAGCAAUGAAGUUUUCAAUAAUUUUGGUAUAAUUUGUCCCAAAAGUAGUACAACACACUGUAAAAAUACUAUUCAGAAAGGUUGGAUUUUUUUUAAUUUUCAUUUAUUGUCUUAAAGAAAUGCACUACGAAAUAACUGUGGUCUCGGACCAGUUUAUUAUAAGACACGUAUUACCAAAAUAAGACUUAGUAGUCAUGAAUCUUUAGAAUGUGGAAGCUUUUUUUGCAAUUCCAAUAGAUGCAUUUCAUUUUAAAAUGUCUUGCAUGUAGAUCAUAUUUUCUCGAACCUUAUUAUUUGAGAAAACCUUCUAUGUAUUAAUACAUACCAUUAAUUUACUCUUAUAUGUUUGUCCCCUAACAUGAUAUAUACAUUCACAUAUUAACACCUACAAUUAUCUUAGAGAAUUAUGUAGUUUGAGUAAAUUUAUAUUUCAUGCACAAAAAUUAAGAUCUAACAAGUUGUAAUAUGUUUCACACUACCUUUUGCUAUACAUGUAUACUUUGUGUAGUUUAUAUGUUGUAUGCAUAUAGUUGUUAUGAGUGGUUAAUAAAGAUUAUUAUUAAUACAAAAA
This 2210-nucleotide long non-coding RNA is filed under the name Mytilus galloprovincialis (Mediterranean mussel). Lineage: Eukaryota; Metazoa; Mollusca; Bivalvia; Mytilida; Mytilidae. The record is from RNAcentral.